This 1656-nucleotide long non-coding RNA is filed under the name Olea europaea subsp. europaea. Lineage: Eukaryota; Viridiplantae; Streptophyta; Magnoliopsida; Lamiales; Oleaceae. The record is from RNAcentral.
AAAUUCUCUUCAGAAGUUCUGUGCUCUAUCUAUUUCUUAGCUUUUUCUUAUCCGAUAUCAAAGCCUUACAAUGACAGAUGAUCAACUACUCUUCCAAACACAAAUCCAAAUCCACCUCUGAACACAAAUCUAAACACAAACCCAAAUCUAAAUCCACCUGAAAACUCUCCUAAUCCUACUCAGCUAGCUAGUCCAUAUACAUCGGGACAAAUGAUGGAACAGGGGCCAUGUUGGUGACUUAUAGCUUGGAAGCAAACAAUUACUAUUCAUGGACCAGAUCGAUGAGAAUGGCUCUUAGAAUCAAGAACAAACUGGGGUUCAUUGAUGGCACUCUUUGUAAACCUGCAGACCCGAAUGAUCCUUUAAUGAAACACUGGUUGAGAUGCAACGACAUAGCAAUCACUUGGAUGCAAAAUACCAUGGCUGUUGACUUCAAAUGUAGCACGGUGUAAGCAGAGAUUGCUCAUCAGCUAUUGCUGGAACUUAAGUAGAGGUUUGCUCAACAAAAUGCACCCGAAUCUAUGAAAUCAAGCAAGAUAUAACAACAUUAGUACAAAACCAAGAUACUGGAAGUGUUUAUUUUUCAAAAUUCAAAACUAUGUUGGAUGAACUACUGAAUUAUGAUUCCAUCUCUAAUUGUUCAUGUGGAGGUUUGAAAAUAGUAGUUCAAAACCAACAAUGUGAUUGGGUAAUAAGAUGGAUUAAAUGAAUCUUACAAAAUUAUUAAGGCUCAGAUUCUUUUGAUCGAAUCAGGUAUCCUUCAGGCAAUGAAUUAGAUGGGAAAGCCAGACCACCGUCAUCUGUUGCAAAUCAAGUUCUAUAAUCCUAGUUUCUGAUCAAGAGCAAGUGAGAGACAAAGCUCCGAUUUCAUUAAUUCAAGAACAAUAUGCCAUAGUUUUACCAUCCACCAACAGCUGUCACAACCCCCUUCGGCUAACAAUGUGUAAUCCUUUUUUACCAUCCUCUUCUAAUGUUGAAAUCACGAAGAUAUCUAGUAUAUCUCUAUGCCUCUUUGCUUAUGGAACCAAAUCUACUGAUCUUAAUGCCAUUUCUUGGAUCUUGGACACAGGUGCAACAAAUCAUAUGAUCUGUUCCACUUCAUUUUUUUACUUCAAUUAAUUCUCAAGUUUCAUAUUCUGUAGCUUUGCCUAAUGAAGAUGUUGCUCUUGAUGCUCAAGCUGAACCAUUAAAAUUACCAAGUCUCUUGUUCUCUAAAACAUUCUUUGUGUUCUUUCAUUUUCUUUUAAUCUCAUCUCAGCUAAAAAAAUUGCUCAAGAGUCCAACUGUUGUCUCAUGUUUUUCUUUGAUUUUUGCUUUAUCCAGGCCUUCCAACUUGGACAACAAUUGGCAUGGGUGAAGUAAAGCACGAUGUAUAUCAUUUGCUACAAAAGGAAAUCUCUUCUUCACCCUUAGCUGAAGUUUUAAAUCAGUUUACUCAUACUACACCUUUAUCUGCUUCUGUAACUUGCAGUGCUGAAAAUUUAGAUCUUUAGCAUUACAGGUUCGGACAUUCACCUUAUUUUGGAGCUACUUUCGGCAGUAACAUUCUCACAUCCAAGCAUUCUACCUACAAACCUUGUCUUGUAUACCCUUUGGCUAAGUUACACAAAUUAGCAUUUCCUUCAAGUGAACACAAAUCUAAAAGAUGUUUUGAAU